UUCGUAGGCGGGCUAUUAAGUCAGAGGUGAAAGCCAUCGGCUCAACCGAUGAAUUGCCUCUGAUACUGUUAGUCUUGAGUCCGUUAGGGGGUGGUGGAAUUCCUGGUGUAGCGGUGAAAUGCGUAAAUAUCAGGAGGAACACCAGUGGCGAAGGCGACCACCUGGGACGGUACUGACGCUGAGGAACGAAAGCAUGGGUAUCAAACAGGAUUAGAUACCCUGGUAGUCC
Molecule: ribosomal RNA, 229 nt
Filed under: uncultured bacterium
Lineage: Bacteria
Description: partial 16S ribosomal RNA
Rfam family: Bacterial small subunit ribosomal RNA
Source: RNAcentral